AAUAUGCCAACUGCAAGUGCCUAAUGAAUUUGGAAUUCAAUUACCAAAAUUGUUGCUAGCAUAAAACAUGGUUUCAAAGUCAGAAUUAGGAAAGGUGAAGGGGCUUCUUUAGGUAUGACAGGUGUUUAGGAGAUGAAUGUUUAUGUAGUUCAGUUUCUUGUGUGCACAUAUAUAGAUGCGAAUCGAGGAUUUUUACUACAGUGGGCAAUGGCACUUUGAAAAACUUUCCACAUAAAUUCCAUGAGAUAUCCAACUGAGAAUAAAACCAUCUUUGUUAUGUGGUUAUUUGGAGACCAUCAUAUCCUGGUUUGUAUUAGUGGCUUGGCUUGUUCAUACAUCAAAUGCUCAACUUCCCUUGUCAUUUGCAGGGUUUCGGAAUCAGAUUGUCAAGCAGCAUUGAAUCUAGUGAGACAGAAGUUGGAAGAAUUUAAAGUCGUGAUUAGUUGCGGAUCUACGUUGACUCCGGGUCUUGAAUCUGUUACCGACGGGGUGAUCUCUUCUCUCUUCCCAACACCAAAAUAAUUUUAUAUCUCUUUUAUUUCUUGAUGGACUUUAAGCUUUAAGCUUCUACAAGAAGGAGACGAAUGUGAAGAUUGGUUGGCUAAUUAAUCAUGGAAUUUCCUCGGACUAAGAGUCUAAGACUGUAUUGAGGACAAGUUUUCGUUCUCGGAUCAGUUGUCCCUUGUUAAUUAGCCGAUGCUUUUGGUGUAGCAGCCUAAACAUUAGUAGUUAUUUUAUUGCUUUCUGAAUAUAUAAAAAA
Glycine soja is the source of this 760-nucleotide long non-coding RNA. RefSeq lists it as uncharacterized. The record is from RefSeq and is a predicted model, not a curated record. The transcript is spliced from 3 exons. NCBI's taxonomy places the organism in Eukaryota, Viridiplantae, Streptophyta, Magnoliopsida, Fabales, Fabaceae.